AUAGCAUGAUGAUUUGCUUUGGUCCGUGUUUAUGAAGUUCAAUGAUUUCAUUUUCAAAGCUCUGAUAGC
Coccinella septempunctata (seven-spotted ladybird) is the source of this 69-nucleotide small nucleolar RNA. RefSeq annotates it as small nucleolar RNA SNORD18. Lineage: Eukaryota; Metazoa; Arthropoda; Insecta; Coleoptera; Coccinellidae. The transcript has a single exon. The record is from RefSeq and is a predicted model, not a curated record.